CAACCUCAACUCAUAUGGGACUACCCCCUGAAUUUAAGCAUAUUAAUUAGGGGAGGAAAAGAAACUAACAAGGAUUUUCUUAGUAGCGGCGAGCGAAAAGAAAUCAGUUCAGCACUAAGUCACUUUGUCUAUAUGGCAAAUGUGAGAUGCAGUGUACGGAACAUCAACAUUCUAGUAUGAGAAGUUAACGAUUUAAGUCCUUCUUAAAUGAGGCCAUUUACCCAUAGAGGGUGCCAGGCCCGUAUAACGUUAAUGAUUACUAGAUGGUGUUUCCAAAGAGUCGUGUUGCUUGAUAGUGCAGCACUAAGUGGGUGGUAAACUCCAUCUAAAACUAAAUAUAACCAUGAGACCGAUAGUAAACAAGUACCGUGAGGGAAAGUUGAAAAGAACUCUGAAUAGAGAGUUAAAUAGUACGUGAAACUGCUUAGAGGUUAAGCCCGAUGAACCUGAAUAUCCGUUAUGGAAAAUUCAUCAUUAGAAUUGUAAUAUUUUAAACAAUAUUAUAAUAAUAGUGUGCAUUUUUUCCAUAUAAGGACAUUGUAAUUUAUUAGCAUAAAUAUCCGCCGCUAUAAAAACAACAUUUUUACAAGAAAUUUUGCAAAAAUACCAGGCGAACAGAAAUGACUAGCAGAUAGAUGCACAGAAAAUUUCCUUGGAGAUAUGUCGAUUCAAAACGACA
This 679-nucleotide non-coding RNA is filed under the name Drosophila virilis. RNAcentral's name for it is "Eukaryotic large subunit ribosomal RNA". It matches the Rfam family "Eukaryotic large subunit ribosomal RNA", at positions 1 to 665 of the family's 3401-position model. Lineage: Eukaryota; Metazoa; Arthropoda; Insecta; Diptera; Drosophilidae. The record is from Rfam by way of RNAcentral.